Mus musculus (house mouse) is the source of this 688-nucleotide long non-coding RNA. RefSeq annotates it as predicted gene, 34307. NCBI's taxonomy places the organism in Eukaryota, Metazoa, Chordata, Mammalia, Rodentia, Muridae. The record is from RefSeq and is marked validated. The transcript has 2 exons.
ACACUUCCAUCAUCUCCAUACUUGCUAGGAGAUUGAGUAAUUGGUGUCUGGAUAGAAAGGGAAGCCAGAGAAGCGUUUGGGACUCGUGAGCUUGGUUCCCCGGUGUCACACUUGAAAACUGCUAAGCUUAUGCCUUCCCUACGGGCCACGUGCUUUUGUGUUCUUGAAAAUGCAUCAAGAAUUGGGAAACUUACAGUCUGGUUCUAGGUCUGCACAUGCCAAGUGGGGAAAGGCAGCCGGGAGUCCUCAUGAGACAGUCAGAAGGGAAAUGCCGGAAUGCAUGGACACACACUUUAUGGACGGUCAGAAGGGAAAUGCCGGAAUGCAUGGACACACACUUUUAUGGGAUGCAGAGGGUGUGAGCAGAAGCUGCUGCAUCUUCUCGCUGUGUUCCUGAGGGACUUAUUCAUUUAUUCAGCAAGUAUUUCUUUGAGGCAUUGCUGCUGCCAAUCCCUCAUUAGGUAUUCAUUUCCCUGAUUAGGUAUUCAUUCCCCUCAUUAGGUAUGCAGUCACAUGGUCCAGUCACAUGGUCAGCGUCCCUCAUCAUUUAUCCUGUGCACACAGUUCCAGGGAACAAUGAGGCUUAUUCCCGACAGCACCACAGGCGUGAUAGCUCCCUCCCUCCACUAAAUUCUCCUCAUUCUCCGAGGCUAAACCUUUACCCACUGUGAAGAAUUUUCUCAAAUCA